Molecule: long non-coding RNA, 2448 nt
Filed under: Triticum aestivum (bread wheat)
Lineage: Eukaryota; Viridiplantae; Streptophyta; Magnoliopsida; Poales; Poaceae
Description: long non-coding RNA (TAES_LNC006920)
Source: RNAcentral
CGGGGAGGACGAUGCACUGCGAUGGGCACGGAAAGCUGUUGCAGCAAUGAACGAGGAGGCGGAGAUGCACAAAGGAGAGGAGGAAAAGCGCGCUCUGGUACUAAUCCAAGCCCGCCGGCGACUCCCCCAUAUGGUACGAGUUUGUUACCCCCUUCCGUGGGGAAAGAAUAUUUGGAUGAUACAAGGGCUUAUAUUUUUCUGUUUGUACAUGCUCUUAUUGGGAUGAUACGUGAUGAUGAAUAUUGGGUGUAACAAACUGAAUCCUAGAAUUAUUGGAUGCAUAUAUUCCUUCAUACUUUAGUGGUGAAUAGAUAGAAUUCACAAAUGUUUUCAUGGAUAGUUGGAUUCGAUUUUUCAUAUUCCUCCGUACACAGGCUGGGCGGUUUGAGUACAUGGAAACAUAAUUAUAUCCUACAAACCCUUAUUUGGGUUGCUUUCAUCUUUAUGUUGUUGAGUAAAGAAUCAAGAAAUCAUAUAAGGUACCUUGUAUCAUCUAUGUUUCCCCAUAGUGUAUUUUGUUUGUUUGCUUUGGCUAUUGUUGCUGCCAUCUCAAGAGCGACUGAAAAUUGCCAACAUCAGCAUCUUAGUCAAAACAGUUUAGUUAUUAUACUAUACAUAUGAAGCUUAGUGUUUCAUAUGUAGGAUCAAGAUACUCCAAUUUCUGCAUGAGUUCUCCUUGGUACCAAUUUCCAUAUGUGCAGGGUCGGAGCUUUUGGUCUGUUUGCAACUAGAAUUUGAGACACUGGUACAGAGUACGUGUUGGGAAUAUAUACUAAAGGUAUGGAACAUGUUUCUAUUAUUUCCUGAUGGAAUUUGAAAAUUGUUCUUAAAAAGAAACAUUAUAUUGGCGGUUCCUUAUUUUUUUCUGUACAAUUUAUUAAACUUUAGCAAUUCACGAAGCUUGCAUACAUAUAGAAACCCAAUGUGGAUAUUUGUUGCUGGUGAUGAUGAGAAAUCAUGUAUUUGCAUUCAGUGAGAAGAGCCUAUAGCAAGUAGCUCCAUGCAUCCUAUUCGUGUUGUAGCUGGUAUAAAUUGAAUGUAGGAUGUAGGAUCAAUUGUAGAAAGUCUAAAUAUUUGUUCAGUCCACAUAACUGGAUUAAUUAGUUGCCAAUAUAUCGCUCAAUUUUAAGCUGAAGAUUUCCCCCCAAAUUUUGUAGCAUAAUAUUUUCUACUAAACAGGAAGAGUUCAAAGCAGGUAGUGGAAUAAAGGUGAUGAACAUAGCUAGCCUAACUUUUUUUUAUUUGUUUGCUCUAGCCAAAAAGUUGGCUCAGCUUCUCUAAUGUUAUUUUGCCUGAGUCAAUAUCAGUACAUGAUAUUUGUUUGUUCCAGCCAAAAAGUUGGUUAAACAUUCGAUGUGUUUGUUGGGCAUCUCUGCCUAAAAUAGAAGUUCAAUUCUAAGUUCAAAGUUAUCAGCAUGUAGUAUUGUAAGCUGAUGGUUACCAGGAGAACAUAACAUUGAUAUUUUCUGACAUUGAUCGUAGCUUUGUGUAGUCCGAAUUUUAGUUCAGACUUCAAAGUGCACAGAAAUAAAAAUAGUUGUACUAGCUGCUUUUAAUGGAUGCAGAUGCCGAGUCCCGGGCUUCCCCGAACUUGGCUCUCCAGGCUGCAAUCGAUGGAGGCCGGUCUUGCUUAUCUCCCCUCAUGGCCGAUCAAGGAGGCGAACAGUGUCAAUCUGUCAUCGACACCUCAGGGUAUGGCCGCCACAUCUGGUAAAAAAUUUCACAACAGUACUAUGAUUGAUUGAAUGACAAGAAUGCUUCUAUUUCGUCAGUUUAAUUUAGUCCUUGGGCUAUUCUUGGAGAACACACACUCCAUGGUCCAGACUUGUGACUGUACUUAAGUAGAAGAUGGAAUUAUUCUAUGAUCUCUUCAUGGUUGAUCAUCGGGUUGCAAGUGAAAUUUGUGUAUGGACUGUGGAGCGUCAGUAUCAUAGUCAUGAGUCGUCAGGCUUCAGUCAUGUGUACUUGGUUAGACAUAUAUGAAGCGUAAGGGACUAGCUCAUUCACACUUGCGAUUCAGUAAUGUUCUUACAAUCAUUUAUUUAUGAUCUGCAGGUCUAAAAAACAAGCACCGGGUCCUUCUCCUCCAUGAAUCAGAUGUCAACGAGGCAACACGAAUCUGCAUGAGGCUGAACAUGAAAGAAACAAAAUGGAGACAACUCGACGAGUUUAGGAACAACAUGUAAUCGACGAUGAGCACUUUUCCAGUCAGGGAAAGGAUUUUUUAUGCCGCGCUAGGACUUUUCGUGGGAGGCCAUCUGAAACACGGUAUAAUGCAAAGGCAUUAGAAUUUCUAGCAGAAAUUGGACAGCAUAACGGAUGUAAAUGCUCAAAAAAGAUUUUGAGACACUUUGCAAAGGAUUGCAUAGACACUCAACAACAUCAUAUCAAGAUUCUGGGUCCAUCUUAUCAACGUAACGGGGUAGUAGAAUUGAACUAGGCUUGUAU